RNAcentral lists this long non-coding RNA (505 nucleotides) under Lactuca sativa (garden lettuce). RNAcentral's name for it is "long non-coding RNA (LSAT_LNC003355)". Lineage: Eukaryota; Viridiplantae; Streptophyta; Magnoliopsida; Asterales; Asteraceae. The record is from RNAcentral.
AUACUAAAAAAAUAAAUUUCCCCAAAUUGAACUAACCACAAACCCUUCCAUAUGAAGCAUCUUUGUUUCUUGCAAAGCUAAAAAAUUAAUACCAUUUUUAUUAAAAAGUUCGUUUACCCAAGUUUUCUUCGCAUUAUCUCCUAAUCCUUGAUUAUUUAGCGAAAGAAAAUACAUGCUAACAAAUCAACUCUUCCCAUUCGAUUAAGGAAAUUAUGAAGAUCAUCCUCACACCCUUUCAUAGCAUAACCCAUGGCUUGACCCAUUUCAAUAAAAGCAUUAAAAUUUCCAAUAAAGAUAUACUAGUAAUUGGUUUUUUGAGAGACAAAACAAUAUCCUAAUUUGGAUGAAACCGACUCCCUAAACUCCACAUGCAAAGGACCAAUGGCCGAAUGAGAAUGACCAUCACCAACCACAACCUAAUUAUAAACCUUGUUGUGAACAACCAUCUCAAUAGCUUCCUUAGAACAAUUAUAAUGACUUGUUACAAUUAUAAACCUUGUUGUGA